Molecule: ribosomal RNA, 253 nt
Filed under: uncultured bacterium
Lineage: Bacteria
Description: partial 16S ribosomal RNA
Rfam family: Bacterial small subunit ribosomal RNA
Source: RNAcentral
UACGUAGGAGGCGAGCGUUGUCCGGAGUUACUGGGCGUAAAGCGCACGUAGGCGGCUUUGUAAGUUAGAGGUGAAAGCCCGGGGCUCAACCCCGGAAUUGCCUUUAAGACUGCAUCGCUUGAAUCCGGGAGAGGUGAGUGGAAUUCCGAGUGUAGAGGUGAAAUUCGUAGAUAUUCGGAAGAACACCAGUGGCGAAGGCGGCUCACUGGACCGGUAUUGACGCUGAGGUGCGAAAGCGUGGGGAGCAAACAGG